Andrographis paniculata is the source of this 933-nucleotide RNA transcript. RefSeq lists it as uncharacterized. The record is from RefSeq and is a predicted model, not a curated record. Lineage: Eukaryota; Viridiplantae; Streptophyta; Magnoliopsida; Lamiales; Acanthaceae. The transcript has 5 exons.
UCUUUUUCCUGUUGAAACCUCUUCUAUCCCCCUCUCGCUCUCUCUCUCUGAAACCCUUCCAUUCAUUCCACUCUAUUCCUCUUGUGUUUGAGAAGCAAUUGACGCCUCCAUCUCUUCUACCCAUUACCCAUUGAUAGCGCUGCAUCCCUGCUCGCCUCGCCGCCUUCAGCUCAGCCUUCGCACCAAUUUUUGUGAUGUUUUGAAUAUAUGGGCAUAACAGGGUUUGGGUUUUGGAUGGUGGCCUACCAAGAUGGCGUGCUUCAGGAUUUGAUGUUGAACUUGAAGACCACCCUCUGUAAUGAUGCCAUGAAGAAAGUAUACCAAGGGCAACAUCAGGUCGGAUUUGUAUCUUUCAAACCAAAUUCCAGCCCCAUCUGAUUUGGAAUCUCGAGCAAGUGUUUUUCCUUACAUUCUCAAUUCGUAUACCUUUGGAUUCGUGCUUUGCUUCUCCGGCGAUUACAGCGGCGAUAGGAUUGAAUUUCAGUAGAUCUUUUCUUUCCUGUCUUACGUAAAUAGAUCUGCUUUGCAUCGUUUCUUCGAUCUCGGUUUUUGAAUUUAUCUUUUGCAUUGCAGGUGUUGCCGGAAACAGGCCUUUGCGAGGUUGCCCUCAGCUGCCUUCUGCAGUAAUUGUUUCUUGAUUUAUUUGACUGUUGAUGAUGAGUGAUUGCAAAGUGGAGAUUAUCAAUGAUGGGAUGCAGGAGUUCUAUAUGGAUUUUCAAGGCCCCAACGAAAGUAAUAAAUCUUCCCUUCAAAUUUUAUUUUUAUAUUUUUUUCAUCUUUAGCUGUGUAAUUGAAAGUUGUUUGGGAGUUUUGUUGAACACUGCUGGAAAUUUUAGAGCAUAUGUUUUGUUAAGAAUCUUGUGCAGAAAAUGGGAAAGCAACUCUUUAUAUGGUAGAAUUUAAAUGUUGCACUGACAUCCUAAUUUUAUGAAA